This 400-nucleotide ribosomal RNA is filed under the name uncultured bacterium. Its description in RNAcentral is "bacterial SSU rRNA". It matches the Rfam family "Bacterial small subunit ribosomal RNA", at positions 355 to 772 of the family's 1533-position model. The record is from RNAcentral.
UUAGGAAUAUUGGACAAUGGGCGAAAGCCUGAUCCAGCCAUGCCGCGUGAACGAUGAAGGCCCUAGGGUUGUAAAGUUCUUUCGUGGGCGAAGAUAAUGACGGUAACCCAAGAAGAAGCUCCGGCUAACUCCGUGCCAGCAGCCGCGGUAAUACGGAGGGAGCGAGCGUUGUUCGGAAUCACUGGGCGUAAAGGGUGCGUAGGCGGAUUAACAAGUCAGGAGUGAAAUCCCCAGGCUUAACCUGGGAACUGCUUUUGAUACUGUUAUUCUAGAGUUUGGUAGAGGUUGGCGGAAUUCCUAGUGUAGAGGUAAAAUUCGUAGAUAUUAGGAGGAACACCAGUGGCGUAGGCGGCCAACUGGACCAACACUGACGCUGAGGCACGAAAGCGUGGGGAGCAAA